GAUGAACGCUGGCGGCGUGUCUAAGGCAUGCAAGUCGAACGGACUGUUAUUUGUAGCAAUACUUAGAACAGUUAGUGGCAAACGGGUGCGUAACACAUUGGUAACCUGCCUCAAAGUCGGGCAUAAUCCCGCGAAAGUGGGACUAAUUCCACGAUGGUCAUCGAAGGUGAGAUUCCUUCGAUGUAAAGUCGCAAGACGCUUUGAGAGGGGCCUAUGGCCUAUCAGCUAGUUGGUGAGGUAACGGCUCACCAAGGCAACGACGGGUAGCUGGUCUGAGAGGAUGGCCAGCCACACUGGAACUGAGACACGGUCCAGACUCCUACGGGAGGCAGCAGUGGGGAAUCUUGCGCAAUGGGCGAAAGCCUGACGCAGCGACGCCGCGUGGGCGAAGAAGGCCUCGG
This 401-nucleotide ribosomal RNA is filed under the name uncultured bacterium. RNAcentral describes it as "bacterial SSU rRNA". It matches the Rfam family "Bacterial small subunit ribosomal RNA", at positions 28 to 420 of the family's 1533-position model. The record is from RNAcentral.